RNAcentral lists this ribosomal RNA (1343 nucleotides) under uncultured bacterium. RNAcentral's name for it is "16S ribosomal RNA". It matches the Rfam family "Bacterial small subunit ribosomal RNA", at positions 28 to 1378 of the family's 1533-position model. The record is from RNAcentral.
GACGAACGCUGGCGGCGUGCUUAACACAUGCAAGUCGAACGGAAAGGCCCUGCUUUUGUGGGGUGCUCGAGUGGCGAACGGGUGAGUAACACGUGAGUAACCUGCCCUUGACUUUGGGAUAACUUCAGGAAACUGGGGCUAAUACCGGAUAGGAGCUCCUGCUGCAUGGUGGGGGUUGGAAAGUUUCGGCGGUUGGGGAUGGACUCGCGGCUUAUCAGCUUGUUGGUGGGGUAGUGGCUUACCAAGGCUUUGACGGGUAACCGGCCUGAGAGGGUGACCGGCCACAUUGGGACUGAGAUACGGCCCAGACUCCUACGGGAGGCAGCAGUGGGGAAUAUUGCACAAUGGGCGGAAGCCUGAUGCAGCAACGCCGCGUGCGGGAUGACGGCCUUCGGGUUGUAAACCGCUUUCGCCUGUGACGAAGCGUGAGUGACGGUAAUAGGUAAAGAAGCACCGGCUAACUACGUGCCAGCAGCCGCGGUGAUACGUAGGGUGCGAGCGUUGUCCGGAUUUAUUGGGCGUAAAGGGCUCGUAGGUGGUUGAUCGCGUCGGAAGUGUAAUCUUGGGGCUUAACCCUGAGCGUGCUUUCGAUACGGGUUGACUUGAGGAAGGUAGGGGAGAAUGGAAUUCCUGGUGGAGCGGUGGAAUGCGCAGAUAUCAGGAGGAACACCAGUGGCGAAGGCGGUUCUCUGGGCCUUUCCUGACGCUGAGGAGCGAAAGCGUGGGGAGCGAACAGGCUUAGAUACCCUGGUAGUCCACGCUGUAAACGGUGGGUACUAGGUGUGGGGUCCAUUCCACGGGUUCCGUGCCGUAGCUAACGCUUUAAGUACCCCGCCUGGGGAGUACGGCCGCAAGGCUAAAACUCAAAGGAAUUGACGGGGCCCCGCACAAGCGGCGGAGCAUGCGGAUUAAUUCGAUGCAACGCGUAGAACCUUACCUGGGUUUGACAUGGAUCGGGAGUGCUCAGAGAUGGGUGUGCCUCUUUUGGGGUCGGUUCACAGGUGGUGCAUGGCUGUCGUCAGCUCGUGUCGUGAGAUGUUGGGUUAAGUCCCGCAACGAGCGCAACCCUUGUUCACUGUUGCCAGCACGUUAUGGUGGGGACUCAGUGGAGACCGCCGGGGUCAACUCGGAGGAAGGUGGGGAUGACGUCAAGUCAUCAUGCCCCUUAUGUCCAGGGCUUCACGCAUGCUACAAUGGCUGGUACAGAGAGUGGCGAGCCUGUGAGGGUGAGCGAAUCUCGGAAAGCCGGUCUCAGUUCGGAUUGGGGUCUGCAACUCGACCUCAUGAAGUCGGAGUCGCUAGUAAUCGCAGAUCAGCAACGCUGCGGUGAAUACGUUCCCGGG